GACGAACGCUGGCGGCGUGCUUAACACAUGCAAGUCGAGCGGAAAGGCCACUUCGGUGGUACUCGAGCGGCGAACGGGUGAGUAACACGUGAGUAAUCUGCCCCUGGCUUUGGGAUAGCCACCGGAAACGGUGAUUAAUACCGGAUAUGACGCGGACUCGCAUGGGUUUGUGUGGAAAGUUUUUCGGCCAGGGAUGUGCUCGCGGCCUAUCAGCUUGAUGGUGAGGUAAUGGCUCACCAUGGCUUCGACGGGUAGCCGGCCUGAGAGGGUGACCGGUCACACUGGGACUGAGACACGGCCCAG
This 303-nucleotide ribosomal RNA is filed under the name uncultured bacterium. RNAcentral describes it as "bacterial SSU rRNA". It matches the Rfam family "Bacterial small subunit ribosomal RNA", at positions 28 to 334 of the family's 1533-position model. The record is from RNAcentral.